AAAUAAGAAGCAUUUUAUGCAUUUAGUUUCGACCUAAAAGAAUGAUUAGUUAAUCCUUAUUUA
RNAcentral lists this transfer RNA (63 nucleotides) under Prostomis sp. PRO01. RNAcentral's name for it is "tRNA-Arg". Lineage: Eukaryota; Metazoa; Arthropoda; Insecta; Coleoptera; Prostomidae. The record is from RNAcentral.